Molecule: ribosomal RNA, 364 nt
Filed under: uncultured bacterium
Lineage: Bacteria
Description: bacterial SSU rRNA
Rfam family: Bacterial small subunit ribosomal RNA
Source: RNAcentral
AACGAACGCUGGCGGUAUGCUUAACACAUGCAAGUCGAACGCGUCUUCGUCCUUUACUACGUAAAGGACUACGCCGCGCAGGUGCUUUUUAAAGUGCUUGUUUGGUGAAAGCACAUUGCGUAGCAAUGGGCGAAGAUGAGUGGCAAACGGGUGAGUAAUAUAGAGGAAUCUACCUAGCAGUAAGGAAUAACUUUGGGAAACCAAAGCUAAUGCCAUAUAUUACCGAUUUAUCGGGAAAGAUUUAUCGCUGUUAGAUGAGCCUCUAUCGGAUUAGCUUGUUGGUGAGGUAAUGGCUCACCAAGGCGAUGAUCCGUAGCUGGUCUGAGAGGAUGAUCAGCCACACUGGAACUGAGACACGGUCCAG